Molecule: ribosomal RNA, 497 nt
Filed under: uncultured bacterium
Lineage: Bacteria
Description: partial 16S ribosomal RNA
Rfam family: Bacterial small subunit ribosomal RNA
Source: RNAcentral
GAUGAACGCUGGCGGCGUGCCUAAUACAUGCAAGUCGAGCGAACAGAUAAGGAGCUUGCUCCUUUGAAGUUAGCGGCGGACGGGUGAGUAACACGUGGGUAACCUACCUAUAAGACUGGGAUAACUUCGGGAAACCGGAGCUAAUACCGGAUAACAUUUAGAACCGCAUGGUUCUAAAGUGAAAGAUGGUUUUGCUAUCACUUAUAGAUGGACCCGCGCCGUAUUAGCUAGUUGGUAAGGUAACGGCUUACCAAGGCGACGAUACGUAGCCGACCUGAGAGGGUGAUCGGCCACACUGGAACGGAGACACGGUACAGACUCCGACGGGAGGCAGCAGUAGGGAAUCUUCCGCAAUGGGCGAAAGCCUGACGGAGCAACGCCGCGUGAGUGAUGAAGGGUUUCGGCUCGUAAAACUCUGUUAUUAGGGAAGAACAAAUGUGUAAGUAACUGUGCACAUCUUGACGGUACCUAAUCAGAAAGCCACGGCUAACUACGUG